RNAcentral lists this long non-coding RNA (405 nucleotides) under Anas platyrhynchos (mallard). RNAcentral describes it as "lncRNA (ENSAPLG00020001834.1)". The record is from RNAcentral. Lineage: Eukaryota; Metazoa; Chordata; Aves; Anseriformes; Anatidae.
GGCUGCAAACGUUUCUUUUGAGGUUGCUUUUCAUCCCUGUCCACAAGGUGUCAAGCGUGAGUCCACUCUGGCGUGUCUGUGAUACCUGAAAAGAUGGACUGAAAACACGGAGGCCUGUUUUCAUUUAAAUUCACUUAAAGUGAAUUAAGGUGAAGGUAUGUGAAGUGGCUGGUAACGUUUAGUGACAACCAUCUCCUGGAGUGUUAUCUGGGAAGCUGUGGUGCAGAGGGGGAACGUGCACGGCAGAAGCAUGAAAUUUUAAUGGCACGAAAGUCCAAAGAUACAGAAGUGGUGCAAGAACGUGUACCUGUUAAGGAGGAAAAACAGACAGAAGCAUCAAAAAGUUUACUAUCGAAUUCAAAAGUUUACGACCCCUUAACUAUUCUUAUGGACUGGAUCUCAGAC